AGAGUUUGAUCCUGGCUCAGGACGAACGCUGGCGGUGCGCCUUAUGCAUGCAAGUUGAGCGAAGCUUUUCAGUAGUUUACUACAGAAAAUGACUGAGCGGCGAACGGGUGAGUAACGCGUGAGCAAUCUACCUUAGUUACUGGGAUAGCCCGAGGAAACUCGGAUUAAUACCGGAUAUUCUUAUUUUUUCACAUGAAGUUUUAAGGAAAGGUCAGCCGAACUAAGAUGAGCUCGCGUUCUAUCAGCUAGUUGGUGGGGUAAAAGCCUACCAAGGCAACGACGGAUAGCUGGUCUGAGAGGACGAUCAGCCACACUGGGACUGAGACACGGCCCAGACUCCUACGGGAGGCUGCAGCAGGGAAUAUUGUGCAAUGAGCGAAAGCUUGACACAGCGACACCGCGUGUGGGAUGACGGUUCUAGGAUUGUAAACCACUUUCAGGAGGGAAGAAAAUGACGGUACCUCCACAAGAAGACCCGGCCAACUAUGUGCCAGCAGCCGCGGU
RNAcentral lists this ribosomal RNA (504 nucleotides) under uncultured bacterium. RNAcentral's name for it is "bacterial SSU rRNA". It matches the Rfam family "Bacterial small subunit ribosomal RNA", at positions 8 to 521 of the family's 1533-position model. The record is from RNAcentral.